Molecule: long non-coding RNA, 1508 nt
Filed under: Homo sapiens (human)
Lineage: Eukaryota; Metazoa; Chordata; Mammalia; Primates; Hominidae
Description: non-protein coding LINC01010:3
Source: RNAcentral
UUUCAUACUGCUGUUGAUGAUGUGAAUUUUGGAAAUAUUCUCCCCUAUUGGGUCUUUCUCCAUGACAGAUGAUGUCCUUUGGCUUCGGUUUUUUGCCUAAGAACUGUAAGUGGUGCUUGCUAGCCCUACUAAGAAUCCUGCCAUUGUUGCAAAUUUCAGAAAAAAGGCUGGAGUGCAGUGGUGCACACGCCUCACACUGUGACACAGCGGGAGAGCCCAGAGCGACAGCUGUUGGAAUGACUGCACUCUUCCUGCUCAAGUCUGACCUUUCCAAGCCUUUGUCCUAUGUCUGGAGACUUCUUGGAAGCUGGAGCACACAAAUAGCUACAGCAAACUUGAGGAAUGGGCAUGAAUAGACUGGCUUCGGGGAACCUGCCAGCUUGGCCGUGUGGCCAAGGUAAUAGGCAAGCCAAGGCAGAGCUAGAGCUCAGAGCUGGAGGGGAAAUUAAAGCAGCAAAUGUAGAAACAUUAAGCCUGAAGAGGCGACGACGUUGAAUUCUAAAAUGCAGGCCAAAGCUCAGACUGCAAGCUGUCUGGCUGCUCCGGGUGUGCCCAGAAGUCAAAGUCCAGCAGGGGCAAAGGUGGAGGUGUGGUCCUGCACGUGGGGUGUUGGGGGGAUGUGGAAGAGGAGGUGCUUUAAGAUCCAGAGAUUCCAGCUGCCCUGGUGCACCCUUGGAAGAAUAAAAGGCUAGGAACUGGACAAGUCAGGCUCGAGUCCAAGCUGCCUGAGGAAUCGGGGAAAGAAUGGAGCUCAGAGUGGGAGGUCAGGGCAGUAUUUAAAAAUCCAGGAUAGCAGCAAAGCUGGCGGUGGCCCCUGACUCUGGUAAGGGCAGCCUGCAGCACCAUGCCAAGGGGGGCCUGACUGAUCAUGCCCUGCAUUUGCAAACAAGGAUUAGUAGGGUAUGAGUAGGAUUCUGCUGGUGCCUGGGAAGGCAGUGCCAUCUACAACUUUACAAAGUUUUAACAAAGGCCUGAAGGACACAACCUUCCCCAAAGUCCUGACGUCGCUGUUUGCUGGCAACAAAUAGAGUCAAAAGAAGAGAGGCACAGAAUGUGCCAGGGGUGUGCUGCGUACAGCCCCGAUGACCACAAGGCCUUCUUGGGUCAAGUUCUGCCAUCUCUGGUUAAGAUGGGCUCACCCUCUAGGACCCUGAUUGAGUCCUCGGACCACCAAGAGUGCCCCACCAAGAGCCUCCCUCUUCUGGUGACUCGUGCCUGCUUCCCGUGGAGAGCUCCAGAAGGGAGGAAACUGUGAGGAGGUGGAGAACGUGGCAGGGAUCCUAACUUUCUUACUGAAGGAAGUUCUUCACAAGUACCCAUCUGCCUUCAGGGAAGAAAACAUAACUCAUUUUGGUCUUUCAAAUUCAGUUCUCAAAACCAAAUCCUGUUGUCAGCAAUCUGUGUCCCAACGCCUUCUUCAGCAACAGCAUUUUCCCUGUGGAAUUAGUUUCCAAUGUUCUUUCUUAAAUAAACCACUGAAGAUUAAAAGGAAUCCAGAUACCCACCAC